RNAcentral lists this transfer RNA (71 nucleotides) under Candidatus Nanopelagicales bacterium. RNAcentral describes it as "tRNA-Gln". It matches the Rfam family "tRNA". From Rfam's summary of the family: Transfer RNA (tRNA) molecules are approximately 80 nucleotides in length. Their secondary structure includes four short double-helical elements and three loops (D, anti-codon, and T loops). The record is from RNAcentral. Lineage: Bacteria; Bacillati; Actinomycetota; Actinomycetes; Candidatus Nanopelagicales.
UCCGCCGUAGGGUAAUGGCAGCCCGACAGCCUUUGAAGCUGUAAGUCCAGGAUCGAGACCUGGCGGCGGAG